GGCCCAAUGGUCUAGUCGUAUGAUUCGCGCUUCGGGUUGACCCGGUGAUGGAACCUGUGAUGACGCGAGCUGCGCGAGGUCCCGGGUUCAAUUCCCGGUUGGGCCC
Molecule: non-coding RNA, 106 nt
Organism: Daedalea quercina L-15889
Lineage: Eukaryota; Fungi; Basidiomycota; Agaricomycetes; Polyporales; Fomitopsidaceae
Source: the annotation of a GenBank genome assembly